UUUUGCCAACCUACAUCUGCUGGUCAUUCCCACAUCUAAACAGAGCAGCGCAUAGAUAUGUCACCCACCAACUUAUACCACCAACAACCACCACCCAGCCCCAAAUCCAGUUCCGGAGACAUCCACAUCCCGUUACUACCAUCGCUCACCACCGCUCUGCUUCGAAUCAACGUCACCUGCUAACAUCGAUCAACACCGCUCUACCCCAAAUCGAAAGGUCGCUGCUUUAUCUACUCUGUCAACCACAAACUAAGUGACGGUUUUUGUUAGACGAUUAGGGCUCCAACAGGUCAAAGAAAGAAAAGGACAUAAAAAAGUUGUUGUUCAUAAGCUUUAUGAUGCCUGUAGGGAGGUCAAAGGCGUUUGUUAAUUGUUGCUCAUCAGUUGUUUGAGAUGCUGAGGGUAUUCAACACCUGAAAGAUAUUUUAAGUAAGUUUUCCUUUUUAAAUUUUAUUGAUUUCCCUUCAGUUUUAGGGCCGUUCAAAUUACUCGCCGCUCGUCGCUCGCACGACGCUCGUUCGGAAAUUGUUUGAAAAAUGCUCGUUCGAUUUGACAUCUGUUUCUUCUAAUUUUGGUGCGAGGCCGUUUAGUAUUUUCGACUCGUGGAUAGAUAAGCCGGGUUUCAAAGAGGUGGUGGAGGGGGUGCUUGGAUCUCCUGUUAUGGAGGGCCCUCCCGAUGUUGUUUUGAUGAAGAAAUUGGGUUAACUUAGAGUUAAAUUGAAAGAGUGGAGGGACGAUAUAUUAAAAAGGAAUUUGGAGGAGGUUUCGCAGGCUUUGACCGAUCUUGAAAGUAUUGAGGCGUCGAUGGAGGAAAGCUAGCAACGUUAUUCAAGGAAAUUUUCAGAUUUUUCAGAGACAAGUUCAUUGAAGGAUGUAAAGAGUGACCUCGGUUGAACUGUGUGGGCAUCAACCAAAUUUCGGACUCCGAAGCGACGGAUUUGGAAGCUGCUUUUUCGCGUCAAGAGAUUAUAGGAGCCGUUUUCGAGUGUGGUGAUGACCGGGCCCCAGGCCCUGACGGUAUUAAUUUUUGCUUUGUUAAAGAAUUUUGGAUUUAUUAGAAGAUUAUUUCUAUAGAAUUAUGAGUGUUUUUUAUGAGUCUGGUUUGGUUAGAAUGGGCUGUGGUUCUUCAUUUAUUGCGCUUAUUCCAAAAGUUAAGGAUCCGCAAAGCUU
RNAcentral lists this long non-coding RNA (1170 nucleotides) under Helianthus annuus (common sunflower). Its description in RNAcentral is "sRNA HanXRQr2_Chr04g0168951". The record is from RNAcentral. Lineage: Eukaryota; Viridiplantae; Streptophyta; Magnoliopsida; Asterales; Asteraceae.